Myotis brandtii (Brandt's bat) is the source of this 76-nucleotide non-coding RNA. The record is from Rfam. NCBI's taxonomy places the organism in Eukaryota, Metazoa, Chordata, Mammalia, Chiroptera, Vespertilionidae.
GGCGGUUCUCGGGUUACGCACCCCAGAAUUGGACUCCCUCCUCUCUGGUUCCGGGGUGCGUCACUCGAGAACCGCC